GUUGGGAGUUUCGUCAACACGGGACGGUUUUCCAGAAACGAAUGCCAUUGGAGGAUCUGCUGCUGCCUGGAAGCCAAGGUUGGAUGAUGCAAAUCCCUGGAUUGAGUUUGGGGUGCGUCGUUCUAUGUAUCUUGUUGAACUUCGAAUACACAAGGACAUGUCUUCCGUCACGACGAGUGUCUGGCUCAGAGACGGUAGUGGGCUCUGGAUCAAAACGUGGACGAGAGGCGACGGGGGGGUCCGCUCAGUCUGAUUGGUUCUUUCCACACUUUCGAAUGCUGACUGUUCGCACAGACGCAGUGAGGCUGACCUUUGACAACCCCAGUGCUGUUGAAAUUAGGUUCAUAUCGGUGGUUGGUCGCGAAAAUUGACCACUCCAACCAUGUUCCACGUCACACACGUUCCAUGGCACACACGUUUCAGGUCACACAC
Long non-coding RNA from Haliotis rubra (blacklip abalone), 432 nucleotides. RefSeq lists it as uncharacterized. The transcript has 4 exons. NCBI's taxonomy places the organism in Eukaryota, Metazoa, Mollusca, Gastropoda, Lepetellida, Haliotidae. The record is from RefSeq and is a predicted model, not a curated record.